AGAUUGAACGCUGGCGGCGUGCCUAACACAUGCAAGUCGAGCGGUAACAGGUGUAGCAAUACAUGCUGACGAGCGGCGAACGGGUGAGUAAUGCUUUGGAAUCUUCCCAGUAGUGGGGAAUAACCAGUCGAAAGAUUGGCUAAUACCGCAUACGUCUGUAAAGGGAAAGCGGGGGCUCGUAAGACCUCGCGCUAUUGGAUGAGCCAAAGUCGGAUUAGCUAGUUGGUGGGGUAAUGGCCUACCAAGGCGACAAUCCGUAGCUGGUCUGAGAGGACGACCAGCCACACCGGAACUGAGACACGGUCCGGACUCCUACGGGAGGCAGCAGUGGGGAAUAUUGGACAAUGGGGGAAACCCUGAUCCAGCGACGCCGCGUGUGUGAAGAAGGCCUGCGGGUUGUAAAGCACUUUUAGUGGGGACAAAAGCUACGGACUAAUAUUCUGUGGUCUUGAUUUAACCCAAAGAAAAGCACCGGCUAACUCUGCGCCAGCAGCCGCGGU
Molecule: ribosomal RNA, 500 nt
Filed under: uncultured bacterium
Lineage: Bacteria
Description: SSU rRNA
Rfam family: Bacterial small subunit ribosomal RNA
Source: RNAcentral